RNAcentral lists this ribosomal RNA (588 nucleotides) under Klebsiella pneumoniae. RNAcentral describes it as "bacterial SSU rRNA". It matches the Rfam family "Bacterial small subunit ribosomal RNA", at positions 1 to 580 of the family's 1533-position model. The record is from RNAcentral. Lineage: Bacteria; Pseudomonadati; Pseudomonadota; Gammaproteobacteria; Enterobacterales; Enterobacteriaceae.
AAAUUGAAGAGUUUGAUCAUGGCUCAGAUUGAACGCUGGCGGCAGGCCUAACACAUGCAAGUCGAGCGGUAGCACAGAGAGCUUGCUCUCGGGUGACGAGCGGCGGACGGGUGAGUAAUGUCUGGGAAACUGCCUGAUGGAGGGGGAUAACUACUGGAAACGGUAGCUAAUACCGCAUAACGUCGCAAGACCAAAGUGGGGGACCUUCGGGCCUCAUGCCAUCAGAUGUGCCCAGAUGGGAUUAGCUAGUAGGUGGGGUAACGGCUCACCUAGGCGACGAUCCCUAGCUGGUCUGAGAGGAUGACCAGCCACACUGGAACUGAGACACGGUCCAGACUCCUACGGGAGGCAGCAGUGGGGAAUAUUGCACAAUGGGCGCAAGCCUGAUGCAGCCAUGCCGCGUGUGUGAAGAAGGCCUUCGGGUUGUAAAGCACUUUCAGCGGGGAGGAAGGCGGUGAGGUUAAUAACCUCACCGAUUGACGUUACCCGCAGAAGAAGCACCGGCUAACUCCGUGCCAGCAGCCGCGGUAAUACGGAGGGUGCAAGCGUUAAUCGGAAUUACUGGGCGUAAAGCGCACGCAGGCGGUC